AAUGCAGCAUAAAUACAAAGACAAUCAGGGGAUAACGAGCCGCAGGUGUAGGUAAUCAAGGUGAGGCUGACCCACAAGGCGGGAACAUGAGGAGCUGGAUCUGAAAUGACAGAGACAAGGAUGGACACAGCAAAAAUGAAGAUAAGCUGCAGGAGUUCUGGGAGACCAGCAAUCAGCCUGGUUUGAUUGGACAGAGGCACACUUCAUGCUCGGGUAUGUCAAGCCUGAUGCCAUGAGACAUUUUUUUAAUAAAAAUAUGGUGUGUUUGAAAGCUCGCCUUUCUAUUUGUUUCAAAUACAGCGAGUUAAACAUGUGGGUGUGCAGGAUUUAGAGUUGUUUAAAGCACUUAAAAUGAAGCGCCCGUCUAGCACCAAACAGCAAGCUGAUAAACAUCAUGUAAUAAAAGAGCCUCACAUUUCCCUGUGGGGUAGAUAGAGACAGAGACAAAGGCAAAAUAUAAAUAAUCUUUUUAUUUUAUUUUAUUUAGUUUGCUGCGAUAAAAGCAAAGCCAAUAUUGGACUUACUCUAAUCAAAUGUCAGGAAACAAGACUAUGUAUUAACAUUAGUAAUGUGUCAUGUCUGCUGAUUACAGAAAGGAUAAACCACUGACCUACCCAGUUUCCAAUGAGCCAUCAAGAGAGAAUCAUCAGUUAAUUGACAGACAUUCAUUCAAGGUUAUUCACUUAUCACAGACCAACAAAGGAUACAUAAUAUGUAAAUCACCUGCAAUAAUUCAGAAGUUCUUCUUCUUUUCCAAGGGAUUCUUCAAUGAUUUCCUAAUCAAACGUCUUAACAAUUCUUGGAAGCACUGCUCCAAUGUUUAACAAAUAAAGUGCUUUGUGGCUCCAGAGGAAGCAGCACUCUCCUCAAAUGAGUCUUUUCUAAAGAGUGG
Long non-coding RNA from Labrus mixtus (cuckoo wrasse), 892 nucleotides. RefSeq lists it as uncharacterized. NCBI's taxonomy places the organism in Eukaryota, Metazoa, Chordata, Actinopteri, Labriformes, Labridae. The record is from RefSeq and is a predicted model, not a curated record. The transcript is spliced from 2 exons.